GGUAGCCUACGGAGGGCAGCAGUGGGGAAUAUUGCACAAUGGGGGGAACCCUGAUGCAGCGAUGCCGCGUGAGCGAAGAAGUAUUUCGGUAUGUAAAGCUCUAUCAGCAGGGAAGAAAAUGACGGUACCUGACUAAGAAGCCCCGGCUAACUACGUGCCAGCAGCCGCGGUAAUACGUAGGAGGCAAGCGUUAUCCGGAUUUACUGGGUGUAAAGGGAGCGCGGGCGGCGCGGUAAGUCUGAUGUGAAAGCCCGGGGCUCAACCCCGGGACUGCAUUGGAAACUGUAGUGCUGGAGUGUCGGAGG
Molecule: ribosomal RNA, 305 nt
Filed under: uncultured bacterium
Lineage: Bacteria
Description: bacterial SSU rRNA
Rfam family: Bacterial small subunit ribosomal RNA
Source: RNAcentral